Molecule: ribosomal RNA, 521 nt
Filed under: uncultured bacterium
Lineage: Bacteria
Description: bacterial SSU rRNA
Rfam family: Bacterial small subunit ribosomal RNA
Source: RNAcentral
AUCAGCCGUACUCCGAAUGCUCUAGAUUAAAGUUUGAUCAUGGCUCAGACUUGAACGCUGGCGGCAGGCCUAACACAUGCAAGUCGAGCGGAUGACGGGAGCUUGCUCCUUGAUUCAGCGGGGGACGGGUGAGUAAUGCCUAGGAAUCUGCCUGGUAGUGGGGGACAACGUUUCGAAAGGAACGCUAAUACCGCAUACGUCCUACGGGAGAAAGCAGGGGACCUUCGGGCCUUGCGCUAUCAGAUGAGCCUAGGUCGGAUUAGCUAGUUUGGUGGGGUAAUGGCUCACCAAGGCGACGAUCCGUAACUGGUCUGAGAGGAUGAUCAGUCACACUGGAACUGAGACACGGUCCAGACUCCUACGGGAGGCAGCAGUGGGGAAUAUUGGACAAUGGGCGAAAGCCUGAUCCAGCCAUGCCGCGUGUGUGAAGAAGGUCUUCGGAUUGUAAAGCACUUUAAGCUUGGGAGGAAGGGCAGUAAGCUAAUACCUUGCUGUAUUGACGUUACCGACAAGAAUAANCA